UUAAUAAUAAGUUUAACUCUCUUCAUAUACGUAUUUCAGAGUUAAUUUGAUAAGUGGAUUGAGAAAUGUGUGAAACAACCGUUAUACUCUAAAAGCUUAAGCUGGUAGAUAACGAUGUUUAAACAUUUUUAUAUUUAACAAAAUGUUUCUGAACAAAUCCAAUGCUUAAAAACCCUACAAAAGUUUCUUUAAGAUUCUC
Molecule: long non-coding RNA, 199 nt
Filed under: Ananas comosus (pineapple)
Lineage: Eukaryota; Viridiplantae; Streptophyta; Magnoliopsida; Poales; Bromeliaceae
Description: long non-coding RNA (ACOM_LNC025829)
Source: RNAcentral